UUUGGUUAAGUUAGAAAGGGCGCACGGUGGAUGCCUUGACACUAGGAGUCGAUGAAGGACGGGACUAACGCCGAUAUGCUUCGGGGAGCUGUAAGUAAGCUUUGAUCCGAAGAUUUCCGAAUGGGGAAACCCACCAUACGUAAUGGUAUGGUAUCCUUAUCCGAAUACAUAGGGUAAGGAAGACAGACCCAGGGAACUGAAACAUCUAAGUACCUGGAGGAAGAGAAAGCAAAUGCGAUUUCCUGAGUAGCGGCGAGCGAAACGGAACAUAGCCCAAACCAAGAGGCUUGCCUCUUGGGGUUGUAGGACAUUCUAUACGGAGUUACAAAGGAACGAGGUAGACGAAGCGACCUGGAAAGGUCCGUCGUAGAGGGUAACAACCCCGUAGUCGAAACUUCGUUCUCUCUUGAAUGUAUCCUGAGUACGGCGGAACACGUGAAAUUCCGUCGGAAUCUGGGAGGACCAUCUCCCAAGGCUAAAUACUCCCUAGUGAUCGAUAGUGAACCAGUACCGUGAGGGAAAGGUGAAAAGCACCCCGGAAGGGGAGUGAAAGAGAUCCUGAAACCGUGUGCCUACAAAUAGUCAGAGCCCGUUAACGGGUGAUGGCGUGCCUUUUGUAGAAUGAACCGGCGAGUUACGAUCCCGUGCGAGGUUAAGCUGAAGAGGCGGAGCCGCAGCGAAAGCGAGUCUGAAUAGGGCGUUUAGUACGUGGUCGUAGACCCGAAACCAGGUGAUCUACCCAUGUCCAGGGUGAAGUUCAGGUAACACUGAAUGGAGGCCCGAACCCACGCACGUUGAAAAGUGCGGGGAUGAGGUGUGGGUAGCGGAGAAAUUCCAAUCGAACCUGGAGAUAGCUGGUUCUCCCCGAAAUAGCUUUAGGGCUAGCCUUAAGUGUAAGAGUCUUGGAGGUAGAGCACUGAUUGGACUAGGGGUCCUCAUCGGAUUACCGAAUUCAGUCAAACUCCGAAUGCCAAUGACUUAUCCUUAGGAGUCAGACUGCGAGUGAUAAGAUCCGUAGUCAAAAGGGAAACAGCCCAGACCGCCAGCUAAGGUCCCAAAGUGUGUAUUAAGUGGAAAAGGAUGUGGAGUUGCUUAGACAACUAGGAUGUUGGCUUAGAAGCAGCCACCAUUUAAAGAGUGCGUAAUAGCUCACUAGUCGAGUGACUCUGCGCCGAAAAUGUACCGGGGCUAAAUACACCACCGAAGCUGCGGAUUGAUACCAAUGGUAUCAGUGGUAGGGGAGCGUUCUAAGGACAGUGAAGUCAGACCGGAAGGACUGGUGGAGUGCUUAGAAGUGAGAAUGCCGGUAUGAGUAGCGAAAGACGGGUGAGAAUCCCGUCCACCGAAUGCCUAAGGUUUCCUGAGGAAGGCUCGUCCGCUCAGGGUUAGUCAGGACCUAAGCCGAGGCCGACAGGCGUAGGCGAUGGACAACAGGUUGAUAUUCCUGUACCACCUCUUUAUCGUUUGAGCAAUGGAGGGACGCAGAAGGAUAGAAGAAGCGUGCGAUUGGUUGUGCACGUCCAAGCAGUUAGGCUGAUAAGUAGGCAAAUCCGCUUAUCGUGAAGGCUGAGCUGUGAUGGGGAAGCUCCUUAUGGAGCGAAGUCUUUGAUUCCCCGCUGCCAAGAAAAGCUUCUAGCGAGAUAAAAGGUGCCUGUACCGCAAACCGACACAGGUAGGCGAGGAGAGAAUCCUAAGGUGUGCGAGAGAACUCUGGUUAAGGAACUCGGCAAAAUGACCCCGUAACUUCGGGAGAAGGGGUGCUUUCUUAACGGAAAGCCGCAGUGAAUAGGCCCAAGCGACUGUUUAGCAAAAACACAGCUCUCUGCGAAGCCGUAAGGCGAAGUAUAGGGGGUGACACCUGCCCGGUGCUGGAAGGUUAAGGAGAGGGGUUAGCGUAAGCGAAGCUCUGAACUGAAGCCCCAGUAAACGGCGGCCGUAACUAUAACGGUCCUAAGGUAGCGAAAUUCCUUGUCGGGUAAGUUCCGACCCGCACGAAAGGUGUAACGAUUUGGGCACUGUCUCAACCAGAGACUCGGUGAAAUUAUAGUACCUGUGAAGAUGCAGGUUACCCGCGACAGGACGGAAAGACCCCGUGGAGCUUUACUGUAGCCUGAUAUUGAAUUUUGGUACAGUUUGUACAGGAUAGGCGGGAGCCAUUGAAACCGGAGCGCUAGCUUCGGUGGAGGCGCUGGUGGGAUACCGCCCUGACUGUAUUGAAAUUCUAACCUACGGGUCUUAUCGACCCGGGAGACAGUGUCAGGUGGGCAGUUUGACUGGGGCGGUCGCCUCCUAAAGUGUAACGGAGGCGCCCAAAGGUUCCCUCAGAAUGGUUGGAAAUCAUUCGUAGAGUGCAAAGGCAUAAGGGAGCUUGACUGCGAGACCUACAAGUCGAGCAGGGACGAAAGUCGGGCUUAGUGAUCCGGUGGUUCCGCAUGGAAGGGCCAUCGCUCAACGGAUAAAAGCUACCCCGGGGAUAACAGGCUUAUCUCCCCCAAGAGUCCACAUCGACGGGGAGGUUUGGCACCUCGAUGUCGGCUCAUCGCAUCCUGGGGCUGUAGUCGGUCCCAAGGGUUGGGCUGUUCGCCCAUUAAAGCGGUACGCGAGCUGGGUUCAGAACGUCGUGAGACAGUUCGGUCCCUAUCCGUCGUGGGCGUAGGAAAUUUGAGAGGAGCUGUCCUUAGUACGAGAGGACCGGGAUGGACGCACCGCUGGUGUACCAGUUGUUCUGCCAAGGGCAUAGCUGGGUAGCUAUGUGCGGAAGGGAUAAGUGCUGAAAGCAUCUAAGCAUGAAGCCCCCCUCAAGAUGAGAUUUCCCAUAGCGUAAGCUAGUAAGAUCCCUGAAAGAUGAUCAGGUUGAUAGGUUCGAGGUGGAAGCAUGGUGACAUGUGGAGCUGACGAAUACUAAUAGAUCGAGGACUUAACCAUAUAA
Molecule: ribosomal RNA, 2929 nt
Filed under: Bacillus cereus
Lineage: Bacteria; Bacillati; Bacillota; Bacilli; Caryophanales; Bacillaceae
Description: 23S ribosomal RNA
Rfam family: Bacterial large subunit ribosomal RNA
Source: RNAcentral